This 227-nucleotide ribosomal RNA is filed under the name uncultured bacterium. Its description in RNAcentral is "partial 16S ribosomal RNA". It matches the Rfam family "Bacterial small subunit ribosomal RNA", at positions 15 to 231 of the family's 1533-position model. The record is from RNAcentral.
GAUCAUGGCUCAGGAUGAACGCUAGCUACAGGCUUAACACAUGCAAGUCGGAGGGGCAGCAUGGUCUUAGCUUGCUAAGGCCGAUGGCGACCGGCGCACGGGUGAGUAACACGUAUCCAACCUGCCGUCUACUCUUGGACAGCCUUCUGAAAGGAAGAUUAAUACAAGAUGGCAUCAUGAGUUCACAUGUUCACAUGAUUAAAGGGUAUUCCGGUAGACGAUGGGGA